Molecule: long non-coding RNA, 2205 nt
Organism: Cavia porcellus (domestic guinea pig)
Lineage: Eukaryota; Metazoa; Chordata; Mammalia; Rodentia; Caviidae
Exons: 3
Source: RefSeq, a predicted model, not a curated record
GGAAAAUGCCAUUAGGAGGUUGGCCUUCCUGGAAGAAGCAGGUUGCAGAAGGUGUGCUUCUGGUGUCUUUCCCCACCUCUGGCUUGUCCCUGGUUCUAUGAGUCCCAGGUCCCCUGAGGGGAGCAAUUUUCACCCACAGGCCGCUGCUGCCUAGGAGCCAUUUCUGCCAUGGACUGAAUUCUCUGGAAUGGUAAAUGGCUGAUUUUAGAGCCGGAGCAGAAAGUAAGCAAGGUCCAGUUGUGAGCCAUGUCCUGAAGGGUGGCACCCAUACAAAAGUGGGAAAUGUCCACGUGCAUAUCAGGAGGGACUGCAUGAAGUGAACCAUGUGGCAUAACAAGACCCAAGAACAAAACCCAAAACAUUUUAGAACUUGUCCUCGUGCCCCAGCCCUCCCACAACUGCUCUGCAAGAGCCAUCACCAUCUGAUGCCAAGCGCUAUGAAUUCAUUUUAGACAUUUUCAAAUUUCCCCUGAAUGAAAUUAAUGUCACGUAAAUCCUUUAUUAUUUGAUUUUUUCUUUUCUCCAUGGCCAGUGAGGACUGCAUCCAUGUCACUGGGUGCAGUCCUCGUAGGUCCUUCUCAUUCUGUGCUUCCCAUGAACUCUACUGCACUUUACCAAUCUUCUCUCUACCAAUGAGCCAGGGGGUAGUUCUCUAGAUUUAAACAUCAAACAAAAAUUUAUACAACAGGCACUGCUGUAAACAGUCUUACAUGUAUCUUAUGAGUGCAAUACAACUGAGUUCUUGAUUAUUUAAAGAUAAUUUCGCUGAAUGUAAAAUUGUAAGUGCACAUAAAAUCUAUCCUAGGGUUUCUUAAAGUACUGUUACAUAACUAUCUGUUUUGUUGUGCUUCUAGAAAAAAUAUGGUGUCAAUGUGAUGGUAUUUCCUGUGUUAUUAGUAGACCUUUUUGUGAGAACACCGUGAAGUUUGGUUCUUAUCUUUAAAAUAAAAAUAGAGUUAUCAGAAGGUUUUUGGCACAUUGACUACUUUAGGUCAGUUUUCUCAAGAACUUUGAGGGCCCUGACAAGUACAGAUUCAGAUCUUAAUUCAGGUCUAAUUUCUCCAAGAUUACUGUAUUGUGCUAUAAAAUAUUAGACCUACAUAUUAUAUUUGACAAAGAGGCCGAAUCCCUUCACUGAAGAAAAGAUAGCCUCUUCAGAAAUGGUGCUAGGAAAGCUGGUUAUCACAUGCCAAAGGUUGAUCUUAGACCUCUAUUUCUCACCAUCCACCCAACUAAAAUAAAAAUCGGUCAAAAAUCUAAACAUUAGAACAGAUACACUUAAUCUGCUAGAAGACAAUACAGGUAAAACUCUUGAAGACCUAGGUACAGGCAAAGACUUUCUGAACAAACAUCAGUUGCAUAAUAAAUAAUACCAAGAAUUAACAAAUGGGAAUAUGUCAAAUUAAAAAUCUUCUGCACAGCAAAGGAGAUAACCAAUAGAGUGAAGAGAAAACGUACAGAAUGGGGAAAAACUUUUCCAGUUAUUCCUCUGACCAAGAACUAUCUAGAAUGUAUAAAGAACUCUAAAAAUUUAGAUCCCCUAAAUAUAAAGACUCAGUACAAAAUGGGUAUCUCAAAUGAAUAACUACUUCUCAGAUGAAAAAUGCAGAGUCAGUAAACAAACAAAAAAUGUUUGGUGUCACUGAUCAUUUGAGAAAUGCGAACUAGUACAACACUGAGGCUCUAUCUCACUCCAGAAACAACAGCUAUCAUCAAAAAAUCAAGCAAUAAGAAAUGUUCGCCAUGCUACGGGGAGAAAGGAACACUUCCGCAUUGUUAGAACUGCAAACUGAUACAACUACAUUGAAAUCAGUAUGGAGAUUCCUCCAAAACUAAAAGUAGAAAUACCAUUAGACCCACCUAUUCCUCUUCUAGGCAGCUUCCCAAAAGACUUGAUUACAUAGUACCAGUGAAUUUGUGCAACCUAUAAUAAAGCUCAGAAGCAGCCCAUAUGUUGAAAAGGUAGUAUUCACAUCAGUGAAGUCCAACUGUGCCAAACAGAAGGAUAAACUUCAGUCAUUUGUAGGAAAAUGAAUGCAUCUUAUGACCACAAUGUGUAACACACACACACACACACACACACACACACACACACACACGGAAAAAAAAAAAAGAGAAAAAAUUAUGGCAAUUCAGCAUAAUGUAUCUACAAGUGUACCUUGACUUACUACAAUUGUUUCACAUGUUUUAUGUUCUUGGGCUCAU